RNAcentral lists this long non-coding RNA (217 nucleotides) under Homo sapiens (human). RNAcentral's name for it is "non-protein coding lnc-FBXO33-7:1". The record is from RNAcentral. Lineage: Eukaryota; Metazoa; Chordata; Mammalia; Primates; Hominidae.
CCAGCCUCAAGAACUGUGAGAAAUCAAUAGUAGUACGUCGUUUAUGAGCCACUCAGUUUAUGGUAUUUUCUUAUGGUAACACAAAGGAAGUAAGACAAAAACACAUGCACAUGUAUGUUUAUUGUGGCACAUAUACACAAAUGUCCAACAAUGUCCAACAAAUGAUAGACUGGUUUAAGAAAAUGUGGCACAUGUACACCAUGUAAUACUAUGCAGC